This 252-nucleotide ribosomal RNA is filed under the name uncultured Bacteroidales bacterium. RNAcentral's name for it is "partial 16S ribosomal RNA". It matches the Rfam family "Bacterial small subunit ribosomal RNA", at positions 524 to 776 of the family's 1533-position model. The record is from RNAcentral. Lineage: Bacteria; Pseudomonadati; Bacteroidota; Bacteroidia; Bacteroidales.
UACGGAGGAUGCGAGCGUUAUCCGGAUUCAUUGGGUUUAAAGGGUGCGCAGGCGGGCCUUUAAGCCGGCGGUGAAAUCGCGGGGCUCAACCCCGUCGAGCCGUUUGAACUGGCGCGCUUGAGUUCAGGCGAGGUAGGCGGAAUUCGUGGUGUAGCGGUGAAAUGCAUAGAUAUCACGAAGAACUCCGAUUGCGAAGGCAGCUUACCAGUCUGCGACUGACGCUCAGGCACGAAAGUGUGGGUAUCGAACAGG